This 515-nucleotide ribosomal RNA is filed under the name uncultured bacterium. RNAcentral's name for it is "partial 16S ribosomal RNA". It matches the Rfam family "Bacterial small subunit ribosomal RNA", at positions 28 to 523 of the family's 1533-position model. The record is from RNAcentral.
GAUGAACGCUGGCGGCGUGCCUAAUACAUGCAAGUCGAGCGAAUGGAUUAAGAGCUUGCUCUUAUGAAGUUAGCGGCGGACGGGUGAGUAACACGUGGGUAACCUGCCCAUAAGACUGGGAUAACUCCGGGAAACCGGGGCUAAUACCGGAUAACAUUUUGAACCGCAUGGUUCGAAAUUGAAAGGCGGCUUCGGCUGUCACUUAUGGAUGGACCCGCGUCGCAUUAGCUAGUUGGUGAGGUAACGGCUCACCAAGGCAACGAUGCGUAGCCGACCGGAGAGGGGGAUCGGCCACACUGGGACUGAGACACGCCCCAGACUCCUACGGGAGGCAGCAGUAGUGAAUCUUCCGCAAUGGACGAAAGUCUGACGGAGCAACGCCGCGUGAGUGAUGAAGGCUUUCGAGUCGUAAAACUCUGUUGUUAGGGAAGAACAAGUGCUAGUUGAAUAAGCUGGCACCUUGACGGUACCUAACCAGAAAGCCACGGCUAACUACGUGCCAGCAGCCGCGGUAA